UCCAUGGGUGCUGCCGAGCACA
RNAcentral lists this unclassified non-coding RNA (22 nucleotides) under Mus musculus (house mouse). Its description in RNAcentral is "oocyte_clustered_small_RNA9184". Lineage: Eukaryota; Metazoa; Chordata; Mammalia; Rodentia; Muridae. The record is from RNAcentral.